Molecule: transfer RNA, 72 nt
Filed under: Camelus bactrianus (Bactrian camel)
Lineage: Eukaryota; Metazoa; Chordata; Mammalia; Artiodactyla; Camelidae
Also listed under: 2 other names
Rfam family: tRNA
About the family: Transfer RNA (tRNA) molecules are approximately 80 nucleotides in length. Their secondary structure includes four short double-helical elements and three loops (D, anti-codon, and T loops). Further hydrogen bonds mediate the characteristic L-shaped molecular structure. tRNAs have two regions of fundamental functional importance: the anti-codon, which is responsible for specific mRNA codon recognition, and the 3' end, to which the tRNAs corresponding amino acid is attached (by aminoacyl-tRNA synthetases). tRNAs cope with the degeneracy of the genetic code in two manners: having more than one tRNA (with a specific anti-codon) for a particular amino acid; and 'wobble' base-pairing, i.e. permitting non-standard base-pairing at the 3rd anti-codon position.
Source: Rfam by way of RNAcentral
GAGGGUAUUGCUCAGUGGUAGAGCACAUGCUUAACAUGCACAAGGCCCUGGGUUCAAUUCCCAGUACCGCCU